Triticum aestivum (bread wheat) is the source of this 3012-nucleotide long non-coding RNA. RefSeq lists it as uncharacterized. The transcript is spliced from 2 exons. The record is from RefSeq and is a predicted model, not a curated record. Lineage: Eukaryota; Viridiplantae; Streptophyta; Magnoliopsida; Poales; Poaceae.
CAUCUCUCUCAAUCCCGCAGGUCUCGUACGACGCUCCUCUCUCCCUCGAUCCCUUCUUUCCCCAUCGCGCCACCAGGCGCACACACCCACCCACAACCCACCAUCGAUCCCGCAGCCCUUCUGCCCUCCUCUCGCUGACCACCACCAUCGCCUCCCCGAAGGCCACCGGCGCCGCAGCUCUGCCACCUCCUCCCUCACCGGCUUCAAGCCCCUUCUCCACCUCUGAUGCGCCGCUUCCCUCGAUCAUAUUCGUGCAUCUGAGGACGACGGCGGAAGAAGCGUGUGCCCAGAUGAAGAUCGUCUGGCUGUGCAGGCGGGCAGACGACGCAACUGAGGUGACGGUGACAAUGGGACUCAUGAGGAGCAGCGGCGGCGUGGAUCUCAUCCUGCAGGGGCGGGGGUGGGGUGAUGUGGGCGCCAAGGAGGCUGGGCAGGAGCCUCCUGCAGUGGAGGACGAGGAUGGAGUAUGAGAGGGAGCCUCCUUCAGUGUACGUAUGGCGAUGAAGGGGAGCAGUGCUCGUCCUCAGUGGACCCAGAUGACCCUUGCUGGCGGGUGAGAUUCCUCUUGAGACCUACGGUGACGGCAAACAGCGGCAGCGGAUUUGAAGGUGACGGUAGGAGAUCCGUGACAGAACAUGUGCAAGCUCAUGGUUUUAUGCCAAUUCAUCCUUCAAGACAAGUAUUAGGAGUGUGGUAGCACAACCUAGGCGUGUAGGCGUGUAGCUGCAUACAUGUGACGGGAAAUAGGGAGACAGCUUCGGGUUGGAUAUGCUAUUAUUCCUUUGUAAGUUUACUGAUGCAAUUUCUUUUUGAAAGAUCCCUAAAGUCAUUUACCCUUUUGCCACUGAGAAUUGUUUACUAUUGUGAAUUGUACAAGUGGUCUAAAUUGUCAAUUAAUGACAUAGACCUAGAUACCAUAAAACACCGUUGAUAAAUCGACUGAAAUAUGAACAUUCUUGGCCCAAAGUUACAGCAUUGCACCAAUUAAUUGUUAACCUCUUGGUUUUAAUGACAAUUGUUCUACUAGGAGUUUUCUUCUGCUAGCAUUCCAUCAACAAUGUCAGUUGUAAUUAUAUAUAAAAAUAAAACCAAGACAAUCAAUGUGAUUAUUCUGCACAAUGUGUCCAAAUCACUCUUUUUUCCAUAACAUUAACAAUUGUCCUUUGACUGUCUAUGUGAACGUUCUCUAAAAUUUCAUUCCAAGUUACGUCUGGUCUUCUUUGGGUAAUUUAUAUAGCAGAGUCUACAAGAAUUGGAUGCAGAUCCACUAUCCCCCCAUCCCCACUGUAUUUACUGCAAUGCAUAUUUACCUGGAGCUCGCAUCUUAGCUGUAUGUCAAGUGCCAAGUCAGUUUUCACUAAAUACAAAUUUUAAUAUAUACUGGUUGUAUAUUUAUGGAUUAUAGUUGAAAUUCUCAAAUGAAUAAAUAUUUUUGUAGUUGUAGUCCUAUAUACAACUACCUAAAACUGAGGUUGGCACAUCUUCAUUAGAAGCUAUGCUCACUAGCUUGAUUUCUCCUAGAGAUGUAGAAUGUUUAUUCCCGCAAUGUUAUUUUGCAAUUUCCUUUUUUGAUGUAGCUGCUUAUCUAUCAAGUUUAUUUAGCAAAUUGUCUAUGAAAGCAUGCAGUUCAAAUAAUCGGGUUGUGUUACUCCUACUAAGUAUCCUAUAAAUGAUCUGAAUGAACACAAGUGAUGGCGUCCGUCGGACACGGUGCCCAAGGCGUAGACUGAACCCUUCUAAGGAGGCAUGUGGGGAUGCGUGCAAGACAUGCCCUCAUUCUAUGAAACAAAGUCAAAUGCAAAUGGGAGUAUGAGAGAUGGUGUAUGGACCAAGUGAUGGGAGCAUCUCCGGGCGGCGGCCCUCACUUCAAGCUCGAUGAACUUAGCUUAAACAUGCUCUUGCACUGGCAUGGUCGUGAUAGGUUUGUCAUCUGGGCGAUUGCCCGUGUUCGUGAGGUUGCUGUGAUUUUUCACUAUAGGAAUUGAUAGCUUGACAGGUUAUUUGGCUUAGCCUAUGUUGUGUUGUUGCUUGUUUGUCUGAUCCCUAUCAUGCUGAUGUUUCAUACCAUGAUAGAUGUUUAUGGUUGUAAUAUUAUACCAUUGAUAGCUUCAGAAAAGGUGGUUGCUGAUUGAGAAAGUUGAGAGACAACUUACGAACACUAUAAUAGUUAGGAAUUUAUUGUUGGGACAAAAUUAUGUCGUUGUUUAUACACACGCAUCAACUCUUCUUGUAGCUCACUACUUAUUCUAUGAUGAGAAUAACAACUAUAGAUAGAGUCAUUCAUCUUGCUUAUUUUCUAGAUGAAUAACUUCAUUAUGGGUCGUGUCAUCCGAGGCAAGUUGAUACUACCUACUGUAUGCAAAUUCCAGAUGCAUUAGGAGGGGAGUGACGAAGCCGGAGGGGCCGAGGUGCCCUCAUCAUGGUUUCUUGAUGGUGCAUCAUAGACCAGGCGAAGAAUCUCCUGGUGGAGCUUGGCAGAACCGAGGCACUUGGAGGAGAAGACACCAUGGAACCCUCGCCCGCUGCUGGUGGGCUUUGGUGAGGACGAGCGCUGGGAAAGGUUGUGCAUGACGCCCAGAUGUUACGCCAAGGCCUUCCGCGCCCGCACCCGAGGUGGGUGCUUCACUAACAAGCUGCUACAAGUGUACAAGGCCUUCCGCGUUCAAGCUGCGAAGGCAAGAAGAUUUUGUUAUUAAUAGGGACAAAUAGGUGGCUAGCACAUCCUUUUUUGUUGGCUGAAGCGUUGGAGUGCUAAAGUUACAGAUAAAAAUCUAUCUUUGGUGCAUUUGUUUUCAGAUUAUUGCUGUUGGAGAUGAGCUACAGAGAGGGAGACACACACCCUUCUCUGUACAAAAUCCAUCUUUGGCACACUUGGGGAAAUUUUGUCCAAGGGCAAUUCAUAGAUUGGAAUUAAGAUUUGGGGCUAUUUUGUUUGACUUGCUUUGUACGGAUGUUGCUAUGCUUUGUGUAUUGUUGUCAUUAUUGUAUAGUGAGAAGAUAUAGUGAGACAGA